UUACAGGCUAUUUUCUGAUCGGUUUCUGAAACCUGAAAAUGGAAUUAGCAGAAGAACUAUCCUGAACGAAUAUGUGACCACAGAGUAGGAUGCAUUGGAAAGAACAAGAAUGGAUAAAGGAGAGUGCUUAGGAGGCUCCUGGAGCAGGAAGAGGUGGUGGCGAAUAGACUACCGGAGCAGUGGAGGGUGGAGAUGGAGAGACGUGGAAAGACUGAAGACAUAUCCUCGAGACAAAAUGAAACAGAAAACUAAGGGCAGAAAAAGAUAACCUGCAAAGAAUGCUGGUAAUCAAGUAGAGUUACUGUUGAGCUGAACUGAAUGAUCGGUAGGUAGUAUAUAUAGGCUGAGCCUCCCUAAUGUGAAACUCUGAAAUCCAAAAUGCUCAGAAAACAGGGGAAAAAAAAAAGUUUUAGACUUUAGAACAUUUCAGAUUUCAGAUUUU
This 442-nucleotide long non-coding RNA is filed under the name Homo sapiens (human). RNAcentral's name for it is "HSALNT0211058". The record is from RNAcentral. Lineage: Eukaryota; Metazoa; Chordata; Mammalia; Primates; Hominidae.